This 3684-nucleotide long non-coding RNA is filed under the name Equus caballus (horse). Its description in RNAcentral is "lncRNA (ENSECAG00000049822.1)". The record is from RNAcentral. Lineage: Eukaryota; Metazoa; Chordata; Mammalia; Perissodactyla; Equidae.
CUGGUACCCAGGUCUCCAAAGCUCUCGUUCUUUCCAUACAGAUGCUUCCAGCUUGAAAAAUGUUCACAGACUGAACACACUUGUGUAACCAGUCUGAAAAUGAAGAAAUAAAGCAUUACGAGCAUCCCGGAAGCCUCCCAUUUCCUCUUCCUCCGCUCCUCCCCUCCCACAAAGCAUAGCCACCAUCCUUACUUUUACCACCACAGAAGAAUCUCGUCUCUUUCCAGUUCCUGCCUUGGGAGUCACAUGGGAGUAAAAGAGAGAAAAAACAUCAGUGUAUGAGUAUUCACAACCUUGAAUGGACGAAUCUGUGAACUGGGCAGUUUGCUCUGCAUGAUAAAGACCAGAGGGGAGAAGAGCACGGUGGGGGCCAGCCCACUGGUGAAAGUGCUUAAGUUCUCAUGCUCUGCUUCAGUGGCCCGGGGUUGGCAGGUUCGGAUCCUGGGCGCAGACCUACGCAUUGUUCAUCAAGCCAUGCUGUGGCAGCAUCCCACAUACAAAAUGGAAGAAGACUGGUUCAGCUGUUAGCUCAGGGACAAUCUUCCUCACCAAAAAAAAAAGAAGAAGAAGAAGACUGUGAUGUUUGUUCUGUUCUAUCUGCUUUCCCCCACUGCCCGGCCCCCAGCACAGAGACUUCUACCCUUCUCUCCCUUCAGGGGCACCCUGCAUCUUGACCAUACAGAGCCCCUCUUGUUUAAUCAUUUUUCCACUUCAUCCUGAAUCCCCGCUUCUACAUUUCUUCUCCACCAUAGACACUCCCUUUAAUUUCUUCAAUUUGUCUCAUACUAAAAACAAACAAAAACUUUCCAUUGAUGAAAUGGCCCCUCCAGGCACUGCGCGACCCCUCUGCUUUUCUUGAUGGCAAAAUGCUUCAAAACUGCCAUGUCGGGAAGAGUCUUGGGAACACUGUGGGUGGGGACAGAAUGGAAUGGAGGAGAGGCCCAUAGAAGUGGACAGAGGGCAUGAGUGGAAUAAAGCAGACCCCGCAUAGGUAUAGAGUUGAGGGUCAAGUGGAGUCACUGCCUCUGUCCUACUGGUCUGUGAGGUGGCCAGAGGCCCGGGGUCCCCACUGGGUGUGCUGGGAUGGCUGUCCUGGGCAGUCUUGGGGCUGCUGGUGGCUGGACACGAAGGUCAUGGCAACCUGUGCAAGGACCUGCAUGAGGACCCCUAUGGCUGCAGCCACAGGCACUCACGUGUGGAUUUCUACCAUGGACACAGCCAUGCCUGUGGCCAUGGGUCACCUUCAUUAGGGCAUCUGGCAUGUACAUACUCAUGGUCACAAUCGCGGACAUUCGCAUGAGGAUGUGCACCAUGGCCACUCCCACGAGAGCCUCUACCACAGAGGACAUGGCCAUGGCCACGAGGACAGUCACGGAGGCUGUGGGGAGUCAGGGGCUCCUGGCAUCAGGAAGGACCUGGACUCUGGAGGCCACAGUGCUGACUCUGUAGCUCCAUUUUUCAUCCUCUUCUUUACUCCUGUGGAGUCAAACUCCUGGCAUCGCCCUCUGCUCUAGAUUUUGCUCUGUUUUGCUUCGAGUGGGCUCCUGGGAGAUGCUUGCCUGCAACUCAGCGCUCCUGCCCCGGAGCCUCAUUCUCACCACCCCCUGGAGCACUGUGGGAGGGCCCCAUCUGUCCACGGGACUGUGGGUCCUCGGUGGAACUGUUGCUUCUCUUGUGGUGGAGAAAUUUGUGAGACACGUGACAGGAGGACAUGCACACGCUCACGGUCACACGUGGAAGACAAGAGCGUCCUUCGAAGGAGAAGCAGAGCUCAGAGGAAGAAGAAAAGGAAGCGGGGGGUCGUGGAAGAGGAGAGGAGGGAGCACAGACCCAAAGAUGGGCCGUGGAGACCUCACAAUUCUGAAGGGGGAAAAACAGGUUCAGACCUGCGUGUAUCGGGGAACCUGAAUAUGGCUGCUGACCUGGCACACAGCUUGCUGGAUGGUCUGGCCAUUGGCGCUUCAUUUCAAGGGGAUCAGGAGCUGGGAUCCUGCGCAUAUGACUGUCCUGCUACAUGAAGUGCAUCCUGGUCCAGUUUGGCAAUAGGCACACUGGCAGGCACAGCCUGUGCCCUUCUAACGCUAGGAGGGACAGUGGGCAGUGAAGCGCAGUGGUACAGGUGGCGGCUGGGUUCUGCCUUUCACUGCAGGCGGCUUUAUCUCCGUAGCAAUGGAGUCUGUGUUGUCUGAGCUGUCACAUCUGGAGGUGCUGGGGCGGUGGGGCAAGCUGUCAUGAUGGUGCUGAUUGCCCACCUGGAGGGAGACGUGGGCUAAACCGCCCCCCCCCCCGUGCCAAAUCUCUAGCCUCUAACUCCUCCAGGUUGGGGUGUGUGGAGGUUGGGGUCCUGGCAGAGAACAUCUGUCAAAGGAAGGAGCUGUAUCCUAAGGCAGAGGCGACUUGAUGUAAGGGCCAUCGAGGUUUGGCAGCCUCACAGGGGCUGGAGAGGUGAGAAAGAAAAGCACCACGGUGCUGGGCACAGGCCAAUCAUGUUGGUGGGUCAGGGGGCCUGAGUGGGGCCAAAAAGAAAGCUGGAAGAGAGAGGAACGAUGGCAGUCCAGCCCAUGUCUCCACCCUACCUGUUCUCAGAGGACUAAGCUGCCACACACAGGCUUCUCCAAGGCCCACCUCCCUCUCCCCCACCUGUUGGUGGAGGCUUCAGGGAAGAGCAGAAUUUGGACACAGCGGGAAGCAGGAAUUGCGGAGGAUAAACAUCAAUUAAACUUCAACCACGUGUCUUGAUUUGAUAGUGAAUGAGGGAGGGGAGUUAGCUGCUAAUCUCAUGGACUGAUUUUUGUGUGUUUCUAUUCUUUUUAUAUCACCGUUUGGAUCAAGAGAGAAGAGUGGUGACCAGAAAUAAAGUCCUUGAAUUUUCCACCCCAUUAAAAAAAAAACAAAACUGUUGUCCCUACUUGUUUUAUCCACUUUUUCUCUUCCUGGUCUCUCCAGAGCCCUCUCCAGUGAGGUUUCAACACCAUCAUUGCACUAAACUAUCCUUAUCUGCUUAGUCCUCCUGGCUCAUCUUAGCCUAUCACUCCUUCCUUCUAGAAAUAUUUUCUUGCUUGACCUCCAGGACCCCGCCCUUUCUUGGUUCUCUUCCAACCUGAGUACUUUUCCCGUCUCCUUGGUUGGCUCCUAAUCACCUUCCCUACUUCUAAAUAACCCAGUGCCUCGGGGCUUGGGCUCAGUCUUCUUUGCUGUCUGUGCUCACUCCCUCAGUGACUUCUCAUCCCGUGAUUUAAACACCACCUAUAUGCUGCAACUCCCAAAUGUGUGUCAUCAGACCUCUCCUUGAAUUCUAGACGUAAACGGCCAAGAGACCACUUGAGAUCUCCACUUGGACGUGUAACAGGCAUCUCAAACACGGCCCAAAGCAAACUCUUGUUUUUUCCACCUAAAGCUACUCCUCUCCCAGUCUUUCCCACCCAGAGAAAAGCAACUCCAUUCUUCCAGUUGCUCAGGCCAAAACCUUCAGCAACAUCCUCGAUUCCUCCAUUUCCCUCACACCCAUCCAUUAGUAAAUUGUCUGCUCUAUUUUUUUUUUAAAGAUUUUAUUUUUUCCUUUUUCUCCCCAAAGCCCCCCAGUACAUAGUUGUAUAUUCUUCAUUGUGGGUCCUUCUAGUUGUAGCAUGUGGGAUGCUGCCUCAGCGUGGUUUGAUGAGCAGUGCCAUUUCCGUGCCCAGGAUU